This 859-nucleotide long non-coding RNA is filed under the name Anser cygnoides (Swan goose). RNAcentral describes it as "lncRNA (ENSACDG00005009899.1)". Lineage: Eukaryota; Metazoa; Chordata; Aves; Anseriformes; Anatidae. The record is from RNAcentral.
AGAGCCUUUGUUUCCACAGAUGUGUGAAUGAUUGGGUGAAGUUGUCCUCUGGUGGUUAAGAUAUUCAAAUACCCAAUCAUUUACUGCUAAGGGCAGAAAACUCGGCUGGUAUUCAGGAAACCGGGAUUUCAUUUCCAAAGCUGUGUCGGCCUGAUGGAUGACCCUGGGCAGUCAUUCUGCCUUUGUGCCUUAUUUUCUCUUCUGGAAAACAGGAAAAGCCGUGCCUGGGGCUGUCAUUCACCUUCCCUACAAGCAGCCAGAGGCAAAUGAAGCAUGACUUACUGCCAGAAAGCAAGCAGUUUGAUCUCUGGAAUUGUGAUCUGAAGAUGUUUGAUCAAAGUGGAAAGACAAUUGGGUGGGUGCAAAUAAGAAACACCAAAGGAAAGUGGAACAAAACACUGCUUUCAUUUCAAAGGACUCUUUGAGAAUGUUUCACUGUCUCUAGAGCUGGAGGACUAAGAAUGAAAAAAAUACAUCUGGAUUGAUGGAUGCAUUAUUGGAUUGUGCUUUAGGAUAAGAAAUGGAAGAUGGCCUGCUUUUGAUGAACCUAAGAAUACAAAAAUGUCAACUGGAAUACCAAUGCAGAAAAAUGUGAGCUGUUAAGGAAAAACAAAUGAUCCAAAUGUGUUCAUUUAUCUUUAGCUAUUUUAUUAUUAUUUUAAAUGUCUAAACCAAUAUAAUAAGUAGGUUUGUGUUCUUUUCUAAAUUUAUUCCUACACUCUUCUCUAACACUCAUGACCCAAGAUCUAAAAAAGAAAAGUUACUCAUAUUUCUUAAACUUUUUUCCACAUCUGAGUUAGACUUAGAUGUGUUUAAAGUAGAAAAUAAAUAAUUUUUCAGUGUCUUGUGACUAAAAUAU